CCUACGUGUGGCAGCAGUGAGGAAUAUUGGUCAAUGGGCGGGAGCCUGAACCAGCCAAGUCGCGUGAGGGAAGACGGUCCUAUGGAUUGUAAACCUCUUUAGGCGGGGAGCAAUGCCGGGCACGUGUGCCCGGAGGGAGAGUACCCGCAGAAUAAGCAUCGGCUAACUCCGUGCCAGCAGCCGCGGUAAUACGGAGGAUGCGAGCGUUAUCCGGAUUUAUUGGGUUUAAAGGGUGCGUAGGUUGUUUUUUAAGUCAGCGGUGAAAGUUUGUGGCUCAACCAUAAAAUUGCCGUUGAAACUGGAAGACUUGAGUGUGUUUGAGGUAGGCGGAAUGCGUGGUGUAGCGGUGAAAUGCAUAGAUAUCACGAAGAACUCCGAUGGCGAAGGCAGCUUACUAAGCCAUAACUGACACUGAAGCACGAAAGCGUGGGGAUCAAACAGGAUUAGAUACCCGUGUAGUC
RNAcentral lists this ribosomal RNA (461 nucleotides) under uncultured bacterium. RNAcentral describes it as "partial 16S ribosomal RNA". It matches the Rfam family "Bacterial small subunit ribosomal RNA", at positions 338 to 795 of the family's 1533-position model. The record is from RNAcentral.